Non-coding RNA from Podarcis lilfordi (Lilford's wall lizard), 117 nucleotides. Lineage: Eukaryota; Metazoa; Chordata; Lepidosauria; Squamata; Lacertidae. The record is from the annotation of a GenBank genome assembly.
AAGUAAGUUUGUUAUUGGUAUGAGCUUUCGUGUGCAUGCACACUUCUUCAGAUACACACUUAUCCGAAUAAGUAUUGCAUGCACACAAAAGCUCAUACCAAUAACAAACUUAGUUGG